AGAACGAACGCUGGCGGCAGGCUUAACACAUGCAAGUCGAACGCCCCGCAAGGGGAGUGGCAGACGGGUGAGUAACACGUGGGAACGUCCCCCUCGGUUCGGAAUAACUCAGGGAAACUUGAGCUAAUACCGGAUACGUCCGAGAGGAGAAAGAUUUAUCGCCGAGGGAUCGGCCCGCGUCUGAUUAGCUAGUUGGUGAGGUAACGGCUCACCAAGGCGACGAUCAGUAGCUGGUCUGAGAGGAUGACCAGCCACACUGGGACUGAGACACGGCCCAGACUCCUACGGGAGGCAGCAGUGGGGAAUCUUGGACAAUGGGCGCAAGCCUGAUCCAGCCAUGCCGCGUGAGUGAUGAAGGCCUUAGGGUUGUAAAGCUCUUUCGGACGGGGACGAUAAUGACGGUACCCGUAGAAGAAGCCCCGGCUAACUUCGUGCCAGCAGCCGC
This 445-nucleotide ribosomal RNA is filed under the name uncultured bacterium. RNAcentral describes it as "SSU rRNA". It matches the Rfam family "Bacterial small subunit ribosomal RNA", at positions 26 to 518 of the family's 1533-position model. The record is from RNAcentral.